AAUAAUAUAUAAUUAAUUAACAUUUUGUUGCUUUGCCACACGUGCACAAUAGAAACUCACAAAAAUAACAAACGGCACAUUUUCCUUGCUUGACGUAGAAACAGGUAAACCGUUUUGGAUCACUGUGCCAAUGACUGUACCAGAUCUGUGUUACGCGUGGGUUGCCUUUGACAAUAAGGCACCGGACUACAGCCGUAUAGUUUUCAAACUAGAAGGCCAAUAGACGAGAGUAGGCAAGAAGGAGUCUACCUGGAUGGGCGAGAGGAAUGUCCAGUUGUCCAUAAAAGCAUGGUUUGUCAUCUGAUUUCUUUGAGCCUGGUGGAGAUGGAUGCAACCAUACUACAAGGCAGGACAUUUCGCUGCAUCCAAGUUGAGGCUUGCUACCAGCAGGAACAUGGAGCACUCUGUCAGUGCUACAGAGACAGAAUGGUCCAAGGACCUCCAGAGCCUUCUGAUCAAUUACCUGCGUUCUCUUCAGACUACAGAGAAGUAAGCUCCACUCAUAGUGUACCUAAUGCAUCAUGUAAACCUCCUUCACUGUGGCUGUCCGCCUGUGUGAUGACAUAGUAUAUUAUCUAGAGCCACUUGUUGGAUUGGAUUUACUGUACUCACGCCAUAAGUCAUGCGCUCUCCUCCCUGUAAACGUCUCCCAGACUUUUAUCAAAACUAACGUGUCCAUCCAGCCCUUAUCCCCAGGUGAGUCUGUUGGACUAUGGAACUUUAGAGCAGCACAUCAAAAGGCCUGCCACCCUGUUGUCAGGUAUAUGCAGACAGUUCCCUGAAGAAGGAUGCCACUAUCAAGGCUUAAAUGCCACAUUUUGGGGAUGACCAAAUGCAAUAUAGUUUUGUAUCAACUAAUUUGAUUAGAUUACAAAACAACUUUUUCAUAGCAUGUUUGUCACUAACUUUUACUUAUUUCUGUGGUAACUUAAACUCAACACGUGGAGAUUAUGAUUCAAUAGGUCUAAAGUAUAUGAACGUCUCAUGUAAAGGAUGAAUACAUUGUAUUAAUGUAUAUCACACAGGUCUCAAGUAAAAUAUAUAUAUAUCCCAGACAAGAUUGAAGAAUGGGACAAGUAAAGUGAAUAUUUGUCAGUAA
Molecule: long non-coding RNA, 1099 nt
Organism: Salvelinus namaycush (lake trout)
Lineage: Eukaryota; Metazoa; Chordata; Actinopteri; Salmoniformes; Salmonidae
Exons: 3
Source: RefSeq, a predicted model, not a curated record